AUAAUAAUAGUGCUUUGAGCAAGAUAUUCAUCCUGGAAUGGCGCUAUAAAAGGGGACUGUUAUUAUUAUACUUGGGCAUGACAUUAUGUAACCAACAUUAUAGGCAUGCCUGCUUAUUGUGUGACAUGACAUUACACACCUAUAAACGUUAUGAUCGGUAUACGAGCUGGGUGUAUGAUGACCUGAAACACCGUGACCUCAUACAUGUUAGUCGCUGGAAUGUGCACGACGGUCGCUUGAUUAUCGGAACUAUAUACAAUAAAUGUGACAACAUGUGCGACAGCAUGUGCGACUAUAGCAGUAGGGGCGCUAAGUAACACUAGCAUCAGAAAUCAAUGACUGUCAAUAUAUUACCUUGGCGUAUCGGGCCUUAUCUCACUAUGUCAGCACAGACAGGUCACACACAAUACAUGUAUACAUGUGUACAGUUAUGCAACGUAAGUGGCGGAAACAUUUAGAAACCUUAACAUGCCUUCUUGUACAUGAUUUGAAGUCAAUCAUAUUGCAGUGUAUCACACUGAAAGUACUAUAUUCCUCCCAAUGAAAAUAAAGAAAAUAAAAACAAAUAAAAACGAGAAAAGAGCAUAAUAAGUCCAAAAAAACAAAGGUCAUGUAGAAUGUUACUUUGGGGAUACUAGUACUGACUUGCCGAAAGAAGGAAAGUCAUAAUAUUCAAGUCCAAAACAAAGUACGCACAGAUUUCCUGUCACGUGUUUCCUUGAGGGGCUUAUCUAUGGGUGUGACUAUGCCGAUAUCUCUGUGCCUGGCAAGUCUGUUGCGUGCUGCAGGUUAAGUAAACACAUGCACAAAACACACCCUGUAUUGUAAACAACUACUGCCAUGUAUCGACAUACUCCUCUGAUAUGGCAAAUGUCCUUCAUAUUUUAUUUACGUAUUCAAAUUUAAAAUUUAAAAACAUAUUUUUCAGGAAAAAGGCGAUUCUGUUUCCAAAUUAUAUUGUUCCCACUGUGCGGAGUUGCGACUCUUCUGCUUAAAUUCUAUGAGACGAAUCUCUUCUUAUAGUGGACGAACAUCUCGUAAGAAUUCUGAGAUUUGGAUGAAUGUAAAGUAAAGAUAAAUUACUUUUAACCUAUAUAUAGCAAAGAUUAGUUUUAUCUCAACUUACAAAAUAAUUAUGCCAACACACUGAAGCAAGCAAAUGCAAUUAUAUGUUUAUAAAAAGAAAAAGGUCCGUGGAAAAUCAUAGAAAAACCGUACAUUAACAAAAUCAAUUACCCAUUGUUAUUCUAAAUGCUUAGUAAUCUCUUUUCAGCAAUACAUUUGGUCCACUAGAUUAAAGGUUAAUCUCUGCAAAUAAAUCAUUAUGAAAGAAUCAAAAAAUAACCCGAGGAAAACCUGGACUUGAAGCUCUGGCAUUUGCAUUAAGGGAAAACAAUGUGGUCCAGGACUGUGUCACAGACCACGAGAGGCACCAGUGUUGUUACCCUGCUCUAUAGUAUAGUCCCCAUGUAUUGCGACAAUCAGUCCUAGUUACUCACGCUUUGGGUAAGAGAUAUACUUAAAGGACGCUAGGUCAUGAGAGUAGGGGUGUCUGGACGACUCGUUGUGAGAACAUCUAUGCAUACACAAAUUGAUCGUGUUCAUACCCAGGAUCUUUGAAUCAUCUUACACAUAAUCUGGCAUCCUUGUUUCUGCUGUCGAACAGAUUCUGGCAGCAUUGUUCCAAACAUCAUAAACCAUACACCCAGUCGGCGUAAAACGCCAUCUUGAGCACAUUUCAGGUAUUUCCUGUUUACACAGCGUCCAUGUCGGCUUUUCAUGUUUUAAGCUCCAUCAACACAAAAAUAAUUGUGAAAUAUAUCAUUGAAUUUCUUAUAAAUACACCAAAAGUAAUCAAAG
RNAcentral lists this long non-coding RNA (1860 nucleotides) under Haliotis rubra (blacklip abalone). Its description in RNAcentral is "uncharacterized LOC124270746". The record is from RNAcentral. Lineage: Eukaryota; Metazoa; Mollusca; Gastropoda; Lepetellida; Haliotidae.